Molecule: ribosomal RNA, 352 nt
Filed under: uncultured bacterium
Lineage: Bacteria
Description: bacterial SSU rRNA
Rfam family: Bacterial small subunit ribosomal RNA
Source: RNAcentral
UACGUAUAAUAAUUAAAACCGCAUUGGUUUUAAGUUUAAAGAUGGUCUUGCUAUCACUAAGAGAUGGUCCCGCGGUGUAUUAGUUAGUUGGUGAGGUAAUGGCUCACCAAGACAAUGAUACAUAGCCGAGUUGAGAGACUGACCGGCCACAAGUGGGAGUGAGACACGGCCCAUACUCCGUACGGGAGGCAGCAGUAGGAAUCUUCCACAUGGACGAAGUCUGAUGGAGCAACGCCGCGUGUGUGAUGAAGGGUUUCGGCUCGUAAAACACUGUUGUAAGAGAAGAAUGACAUUGAGAGUAACUGUUCAAUGUGUGACGGUAUCUUACCAGAAAGGAACGGCUAAAUACGUG